RNAcentral lists this ribosomal RNA (253 nucleotides) under uncultured bacterium. Its description in RNAcentral is "partial 16S ribosomal RNA". It matches the Rfam family "Bacterial small subunit ribosomal RNA", at positions 524 to 776 of the family's 1533-position model. The record is from RNAcentral.
UACGUAGGGUGCAAGCGUUGUCCGGAAUUAUUGGGCGUAAAGAGCUCGUAGGCGGUCUGUCGCGUCUGCUGUGAAAACUCAGGACUUAACCCUGAGCUUGCAGUGGGUACGGGCAGACUAGAGUGCGGUAGGGGAGACUGGAAUUCCUGGUGUAGCGGUGAAAUGCGCAGAUAUCAGGAGGAACACCGGUGGCGAAGGCGGGUCUCUGGGCCGAUACUGACGCUGAGGAGCGAAAGCGUGGGGAGCAAACAGG